Molecule: ribosomal RNA, 450 nt
Filed under: uncultured bacterium
Lineage: Bacteria
Description: partial 16S ribosomal RNA
Rfam family: Bacterial small subunit ribosomal RNA
Source: RNAcentral
GUGGGGAAUUUUGGACAAUGGGCGCAAGCCUGAUCCAGCAAUGCCGCGUGUGUGAAGAAGGCCUUCGGGUUGUAAAGCACUUUUGUCCGGAAAGAAAUCUCCUGGGUUAAUACCUCGGGGGGAUGACGGUACCGGAAGAAUAAGCACCGGCUAACUACGUGCCAGCAGCCGCGGUAAUACGUAGGGUGCGAGCGUUAAUCGGAAUUACUGGGCGUAAAGCGUGCGCAGGCGGCUCUGCAAGACAGAUGUGAAAGCCCCGGGCUCAACCUGGGAACUGCAUUUGUGACUGCAAGGCUAGAGUGCGUCAGAGGGAGGUGGAAUUCCGCGUGUAGCAGUGAAAUGCGUAGAGAUGCGGAGGAACACCGAUGGCGAAGGCAGCCUCCUGGGAUGACACUGACGCUCAUGCACGAAAGCGUGGGGAGCAAACAGGAUUAGAAACCCGGGUAGUCC